AUGGCUGGAUUCACUGAUGCACUGAGGCCGGAUAAGUUUACCGGUGUGCACUUUAAGAGGUGGCAGGUGAAGACCACACUCUGGCUUACUGCUCUGAAAGUUUUCCAUGCUAGUGUUGGUGCUCCAGAGGGAAUGGCCGACGAAGAUCGGAGAAAAUUCCAGGAAGCCAAUACUAUGUUUGUGGGAUGCAUUCUGAGUGUUCUUGCUGACCAUCUGUGUGAUGUGUACAUGCACAUAAACGACGGAAAAAUUCUGUGGGAUGCACUGAAUGCAAAAUUCGGUGCAACAGAUGCAGGCAGUGAACUGUACAUCAUGGAGAGUUUUCAUGACUACAAGAUGGUGAAUAACCGUUCUGUGGUUGAACAAGCUCAUGAGAUACAGUGCAUUGUGAAGGAACUUGAACUCCUUAAAUGUGUUCUACCCAACAAAUUCAUGGCUGGGUGCAUGAUUGCAAAGUUGCCUCCUUCAUGGAGGAAUUUCGCCAUAACUCUGAAGCAUAAGAGACAGGAGAUAUCAGUUGAAAAUCUGAUUGCAUCUCUUGAUGUUGAAGAAAAAGCUCGGGCUAAAGAUACCACUGAAAAAGGAGGUGAGGUUCAGCCUACUGCUAACAUGGUGCAGAGGUACCCACAGAACAAGAACAAAGGGAAGAAUAAACCUGUUGUUAACAAGCCUACCAAGACUACUACCUUCAAGAAGAAGAAGUUCAACAAGGCUGAGCUAGAGUGCUACGCCUGUGGGAAGCCUGUACACUUUUCCAAGGAAUGCCCUGAACGUGCAGACCGCAGAUGGAAAACAAGCUCCAAGACUGUCAACAUGGUGACCGCUAGCAAUACUGAUGGGUAUGGUAAUUUACCUAUUGUGCUUUCAGUAUUUCAAUCAUCUUCGUGGUGGAUUGAUUCGGGUGCUAACGUUCAUGUGUGUGCUGACAUCUCCCUGUUUACUUCUUAUCAGGUCGCAAGGGAUUCUUCCGUCCUAAUGGGGAAUGGAUCACAUGCUUCUGUUCGUGGCAUUGGCACGGUGGAUCUGAAGUUUACUUCGGGAAAGAUCGUGCAACUAAGGAACGUGCAGCAUGUCCCUACUAUGAAUAAGAAUCUAGUUAGCGGCUCCCUUCUAUGUCGAGAUGGAUUUAAGGUAGUUUUAGAGUCCAAUAAAGUAAUCGUGUCAAGAUUUGGACAAUUUAUAGGAAAAGGCUAUGAGUGCGGAGGCUUGUUCCGCUUUUCUCUUUCAGAUUUUUGCAAUAAGUCAAUAAACCAAAUUUGUGCUAGUGUUAAUGAUGAUGCAAGUAUUUGGCACUCUCGUUUAUGUCAUAUUAAUUUUGGUUUAAUGUCUCGGCUAUCCAGCAUGAGUUUAAUUCCGAACUUCACAGUUGCCAAAGGUUCUAAGUGCCAUAGUUGUGUGCAAUCUAAGCAACCUCGAAAGCCUCAUAAGGCUGCCGAGGAGAGAAACUUGGCGCCUCUAGAACUCAUACAUUCUGAUCUUUGUGAAUGGUGUCUUGACAAAAGGCGGAAAGAGAUAUUUCAUGACUUUGAUUGA
RNAcentral lists this ribosomal RNA (1533 nucleotides) under Triticum aestivum (bread wheat). Its description in RNAcentral is "partial small subunit ribosomal RNA". Lineage: Eukaryota; Viridiplantae; Streptophyta; Magnoliopsida; Poales; Poaceae. The record is from RNAcentral.